CGGCGGACGGGUGAGUAACGCGUGGGUAACCUGCCUCAUACAGGGGGAUAACAGUUGGAAACGGCUGCUAAUACCGCAUAAGCGCACAGUACCGCAUGGUACGGUGUGAAAAACUCCGGUGGUAUGAGAUGGACCCGCGUCUGAUUAGGUAGUUGGUGGGGUAACGGCCUACCAAGCCGACGAUCAGUAGCCGACCCGAGAGGGUGACCGGCCACAUUGGGACUGAGACACGGCCCAA
RNAcentral lists this ribosomal RNA (238 nucleotides) under uncultured bacterium. Its description in RNAcentral is "partial 16S ribosomal RNA". It matches the Rfam family "Bacterial small subunit ribosomal RNA", at positions 96 to 334 of the family's 1533-position model. The record is from RNAcentral.